AAUUUUUUGCAACUCAAAUUAAUAAAACUAUAAAAAUUCUUGAUUUAGAAAAGUAAUUCUCAGGUUCGUCUGGCAUUUUGGCAAUGCAAAUCUUCCUGGUAUCCCUAAAAAGCAAGAUUUUUUCUUUUCCAUGUCUCCUAGCUGUUUUCAGCUGAAAUCCUGAGAUGGAGGAAAGAGAAUCCAACUGAUAGCUCUUUUCUUGAGAAAUUCAGAACCUGACCAGAAGCAGAGCAACAUAGAAAACCCCAAGUAUAAAGUUACUCUUUAGGACUUGAGGCUCUUUCAAGAGGUUCUUUUGUUGGGGGUCACCUCUUCUGUCAUAAGGAAGGGAGGAAAAUGGAGCCUUCCUCUGGCCAUUUACCCUUGCAGUAUACCUGUUUUCCGUUUCUUUUCGUGAAGGUAAACAUGGCCUCCCACCUUCAGAGACCAUAGCCAUCGUGGAGCACAUAAACACCAAGUGUCCUAACCUGGAGUUUGUGGGGCUGAUGACCAUAGGAAGCUUUGGGCAUGAUCUUAGUCAAGGACCAAAUCCAGACUUCCAGCUAUUAUUGUCCCUCCGGGAGGAGCUGUGUAAAAAGCUGAACAUCCCUGCUGACCAGGUUGAGCUGAGCAUGGGCAUGUCCGUGGAUUUCCAGCAUGCGAUUGAAGUAGGAUCUACAAAUGUCCGAAUAGGAAGCAUGAUUUUUGGAGAGCGGGAUUACUCAAAGAAACCCGCCCCGGACAAGUGUGCAGCAGAUGUGAAGGCCUCG
RNAcentral lists this small RNA (749 nucleotides) under Pongo abelii (Sumatran orangutan). RNAcentral's name for it is "retained intron". Lineage: Eukaryota; Metazoa; Chordata; Mammalia; Primates; Hominidae. The record is from RNAcentral.